CCUACGGGUGGCAGCAGUGAGGAAUAUUGGUCAAUGGACGAGAGUCUGAACCAGCCAAGUAGCGUGAAGGAUGACUGCCCUAUGGGUUGUAAACUUCUUUUAUAUGGGAAUAAAAUGUUCCACGUGUGGGAUUUUGUAUGUAACAUAUGAAUAAGGAUCGGCUAACUCCGUGCCAGCAGCCGCGGUAAUACGGAGGAUCCGAGCGUUAUCCGGAUUUAUUGGGUUUAAAGGGAGCGUAGGUGGAUUGUUAAGUCAGUUGUGAAAGUUUGCGGCUCAACCGUAAAAUUGCAGUUGAAACUGGCAGUCUUGAGUACAGUAGAGGUGGGCGGAAUUCGUGGUGUAGCGGUGAAAUGCUUAGAUAUCACGAAGAACUCCGAUUGCGAAGGCAGUUCACUGGACUGCAACUGACACUGAGGCUCGAAAGUGUGGGUAUCAAACAGGAUUAGAUACCCUUGUAGUC
Molecule: ribosomal RNA, 460 nt
Filed under: uncultured bacterium
Lineage: Bacteria
Description: partial 16S ribosomal RNA
Rfam family: Bacterial small subunit ribosomal RNA
Source: RNAcentral